Molecule: ribosomal RNA, 346 nt
Filed under: uncultured eukaryote
Lineage: Eukaryota
Description: SSU rRNA
Rfam family: Eukaryotic small subunit ribosomal RNA
Source: RNAcentral
AUAGCGUAUAUUAAAGUUGUUGCAGUUAAAAAGCUCGUAGUUGAACUUCAGACCUGGCCGGGCGGUCCGCCUCACGGUGUGUACUGUCUGGCUGGGCCUUACCUCUUGGUGAGCCGGCAUGUCCUUUAUUGGGUGUGUCGGGGAACCAGGACUUUUACCUUGAGAAAAUUAGAGUGUUCAAAGCAGGCCUAUGCCUGAAUACGUUAGCAUGGAAUAAUGAAAUAGGACGUGCGGUUCUAUUUUGUUGGUUUCUAGAGUCGCCGUAAUGAUUAAUAGGGAUAGUUGGGGGCAUUCGUAUUCCGUUACUAGAGGUGAAAUUCUUGGAUUUACGGAAGACGAACUUCUG